Vigna radiata var. radiata (mung bean) is the source of this 380-nucleotide long non-coding RNA. RefSeq lists it as uncharacterized. Lineage: Eukaryota; Viridiplantae; Streptophyta; Magnoliopsida; Fabales; Fabaceae. The record is from RefSeq and is a predicted model, not a curated record. The transcript is spliced from 3 exons.
GUUUGCCAGUGCCCAUCUGAAUGGAGAGGCAGUGCUGAUUGCUCUCUUCUAACCAAACCAACAGAUUUUACCUCAAAUUCAACUGAGACUAAAUUGUCUAAGGUCAGCAGCAGCAGUGACUCCAAUAAGACACUGGGUGUCUUGGCUUUAUCUUCAGUGGGAGCAGCUGUUGCUGGUGCCAUAUAUGGAAAGAAAGUAUUCAACAAGAAAAAGAGAGAGGCAGUUAAGUUCCAACAAUUAUCUGAAAUGCAGGCAAGUGGGAUAUUGGAUGAUGACGAUUAUGAAGAUCACUGUAGGGUACCCCAGAGGAUUCAUGGUGAUAUCUCACACAUUUAGUAGGCACCUCUUUUACUAGUUAAAACUUAUUCUAGCGAGAUCUA